This 263-nucleotide ribosomal RNA is filed under the name uncultured bacterium. RNAcentral describes it as "partial 16S ribosomal RNA". It matches the Rfam family "Bacterial small subunit ribosomal RNA", at positions 91 to 354 of the family's 1533-position model. The record is from RNAcentral.
CUUAGUGGCGGACGGGUGAGUAACGCGUGGGUAACCUGCCUUGCACUGGGGGAUAACACUUAGAAAUAGGUGCUAAUACCGCAUAAGCGCACGGUCCCGCAUGGGACAGUGUGAAAAACUCCGGUGGUGCAAGAUGGACCCGCGUCUGAUUAGCUGGUUGGCGGGGUAAAGGCCCACCAAGGCGACGAUCAGUAGCCGGCCUGAGAGGGUGGACGGCCACAUUGGGACUGAGACACGGCCCAAACUCCUACGGGAGGCAGCAG